ACACCGUUGGUGAAUUGGUUAUCAUACUUGCUUUCCCAGCAAGUGGCUCGGGUUCGAUUCCCGAACAGUAUA
Dendrothele bispora CBS 962.96 is the source of this 72-nucleotide non-coding RNA. The record is from the annotation of a GenBank genome assembly. NCBI's taxonomy places the organism in Eukaryota, Fungi, Basidiomycota, Agaricomycetes, Agaricales.